Molecule: ribosomal RNA, 459 nt
Filed under: Triticum aestivum (bread wheat)
Lineage: Eukaryota; Viridiplantae; Streptophyta; Magnoliopsida; Poales; Poaceae
Description: partial small subunit ribosomal RNA
Source: RNAcentral
AUGUUUUGUGGGUUCACGGUGAAGGGUGAGACUGAAUUCUACCAAGUUAAAUUUGAGAAGUUUCCGAUGCUUUUUCACGCCUAUGGGAAGAUGGGACAUUGGCAUGAGGAGUGUGGUACGAGAGAACACGACGAAUCAAAAUUUGGAUGGGGUCCCUUUAUUCUUGCUCCGAGAAGGGGGCGAGGCGGUGGCCGUGGUGCUAGUGGUGGUCGUUCAUCGGGUGCUGGUCGUGGAGAUAUGAACAGGAGAGGGGUGGGGGUGGACUAUCAAGCAGAGGCAUGGAUGGAAGAUUUGGUGAAAGAGCUUGCCAAUGGAAUUAUGAACUUGCAAAGAACCCAUCUGAUAUGGAGGGUAUGGACCUGGAUGGCUCUGGAAAGGAUGGGGACAAGAAUGAUGGUACAUCAAUGGUGCCAAGAUAUAUACAGAAAAUCAAACUUUGUUGGGCAAAAGGCAAGCUGA